This 775-nucleotide ribosomal RNA is filed under the name uncultured Neocallimastigales. RNAcentral's name for it is "partial large subunit ribosomal RNA". It matches the Rfam family "Eukaryotic large subunit ribosomal RNA", at positions 25 to 629 of the family's 3401-position model. The record is from RNAcentral. Lineage: Eukaryota; Fungi; Neocallimastigomycota; Neocallimastigomycetes; Neocallimastigales.
CCGCAUCUGUGCAUGCAGCAUAUCAAUAAGCGGAGGAAAAGAAACUAACAAGGAUUCCCUUAGUAACGGCGAGUGAAGCGGGAAGAGCUCAAAUUUGAAAUCUUCAAGGUUUUACCUUGACGAAUUGUAGUUUAAAGAAGUGUUUUCUGUUGAAGUUUUGGUAAAAGUUCUUUGGAAUAGGACAUCAUAGAGGGUGAGAAUCCCGUAUUUGACCAUUAUUUUCAGCUGUGUGAUACACUUUCAAAGAGUCGGAUUGUUUGGGAAUGCAGUCCAAAAUGGGUGGUAAAUUUCAUCUAAAGCUAAAUAUUGGCGAGAGACCGAUAGCGAACAAGUACCGUGAGGGAAAGAUGAAAAGAACUUUGAAAAGAGAGUUAAACAGUACGUGAAAUUGUCAAAAGGGAAGCGUUUGACACCAGUGUUGUUUUCUCGAAAAUCAAUUAAAAAGAGUUAGAUUUUGUUGUGUAUUGACCUUAACAGCUUGCAUUUCAAUUUUCUUGCUUUUUUUAAUGCACUUUUCGUUUAACAAGUCAACAUCAGUUUCUUUUGUUGUAAAAAGGUCAUUGGAAGGUGGCUUUCUUUUCGGAGAAAGUGUUUAUAGCCUUUGACUCCUGCAAUCGGAGAGACUGAGGUCUGCAGCGUAGAUCCUUCGGGGUUAGAUACAUUUGUGCUAAGUUAUAGCAUUUUAUAGACAACUUGUUGACUAUGAUUAGUCUUGUAGCUUACUCGCUUAUGCUAUUUUACCUACGCUUAGGAUGUUGAUGUGAUACUGCGAGCA